RNAcentral lists this ribosomal RNA (429 nucleotides) under Actinomycetes bacterium. RNAcentral's name for it is "Actinobacteria bacterium partial 16S ribosomal RNA". It matches the Rfam family "Bacterial small subunit ribosomal RNA", at positions 355 to 776 of the family's 1533-position model. The record is from RNAcentral. Lineage: Bacteria; Bacillati; Actinomycetota; Actinomycetes.
UAGGGAAUCUUCCGCAAUGGGCGAAAGCCUGACGGAGCAACGCUGCGUGAGUGAUGAAGGUCUUCGGAUCGUAAAACUCUGUUAUUAGGGAAGAACAAAUGUGUAAGUAACUAUGCACGUCUUGACGGUACCUAAUCAGAAAGCCACGGCUAACUACGUGCCAGCAGCCGCGGUAAUACGUAGGUGGCAAGCGUUAUCCGGAAUUAUUGGGCGUAAAGCGCGCGUAGGCGGUUUUUUAAGUCUGAUGUGAAAGCCCACGGCUCAACCGUGGAGGGUCAUUGGAAACUGGAAAACUUGAGUGCAGAAGAGGAAAGUGGAAUUCCAUGUGUAGCGGUGAAAUGCGCAGAGAUAUGGAGGAACACCAGUGGCGAAGGCGACUUUCUGGUCUGUAACUGACGCUGAUGUGCGAAAGCGUGGGGAUCAAACAGG